AGUGCAUAUGGCGGAUGCCUUGGCGAUUACAGGCGAUGAAGGACGUGGUAGUCUACGAAAAUUUUCGGGGAGCUGGCAAACAAGCUUUGAUCCGGAAGUGUCCGAAUGGGGAAACCCACCCGUUAAGGGUAUCUAUCUCUGAAUAUAUAGGAGACAAGAAGCGAACCGAGUGAACUGAAACAUCUAAGUAACUCGAGGAAAAGAAAUCAACCGAGAUUCCGAUAGUAGUGGCGAGCGAAAUCGGAGCAGCCUGUUAUUUUUAGCACACGUGUUAGUAGAACGGAAUGGAAAGUCCGGCCAUAGAGGGUGAUAGCCCCUUAUACGAAAACCCGUGUGUGGAACUAGGAUAACGACAAGUAGGGCGGGACACGUGAAAUCCUGUCUGAAUAUGGGGGGACCAUCCUCCAAGGCUAAAUACUCGUAAUCGACCGAUAGUGAACUAGUACCGUGAGGGAAAGGUAAAAAGAACCCCGGAAGGGGAGUGAAAUAGAUCCUGAAACCGUAUGCAUACAAACAGUGGGAGCCCGCAAGGGUGACUGCGUACCUUUUGUAUAAUGGGUCAGCGACUUACAUUCAGUAGCAAGCUUAACCGAUAGGGGAGGCGUAGCGAAAGCGAGUCCUAAUAGGGCGAUUCAGUUGCUGGGUGUAGACCCGAAACCAAGUGAUCUAUCCAUGGCCAGGAUGAAGGUGCGGUAACACGUACUGGAGGUCCGAACCCACAAAUGUUGAAAAAUUUGGGGAUGAGCUGUGGAUAGGGGUGAAAGGCUAAACAAACUUGGAGAUAGCUGGUUCUCUCCGAAAACUAUUUAGGUAGUACCUCGUAAAUCAUUCUCGGGGGUAGAGCACUGUUAUAGCUAGGGGGGGCAUAAGCCCUUACCAAACUAUUGCAAACUCCGAAUACUGAGAAAUGUAAUUACGGGAGACAGUCCAUGGGUGCUAACGUCCGUGGACAAGAGGGAAACAACCCAGACCGACAGCUAAGGUCCCAAAUGACGUGCUAAGUGGAAAACGAAGUGGGAAGGCAUAGACAGCUAGGAGGUUGGCUUAGAAGCAGCCACCCUUUAAAGAAAGCGUAAUAGCUCACUAGUCGAGUCGUCCUGCGCGGAAGAUGUAACGGGGCUAAGCACGUAACCGAAGCUUCGGGUGUGUAGCAAUACACGCGGUAGGAGAGCGUUCUGUAAGCCUGCGAAGGUGUCUCGUGAGGGAUGCUGGAGGUAUCAGAAGUGCGAAUGCUGACAUGAGUAGCGAUAAAGAGUGUGAAAAGCACUCUCGCCGAAAGCCCAAGGUUUCCUGCGCAACGUUCAUCGGCGCAGGGUGAGUCGGCCCCUAAGGCGAGGCAGAAAUGCGUAGUCGAUGGGAAACAGGUUAAUAUUCCUGUACCUCAAUUUAAUGCGAUGUGGGGACGGAGAAGGUUAAGUCAGCCGGGUGUUGGAUGUCCCGGUUCAAGCGUGUAGACAGAUUCUUUAGGUAAAUCCGGAGAGUCAAUGUCAAGGCGUGAUAACGAGAGAGCUUGCUCUUGAAGUGACUGAUACCAUGCUUCCAAGAAAAGCCUCUAAGCUUCAGUCAUACGAGACCGUACCGCAAACCGACACAGGUGGGCGAGAUGAGUAUUCUAAGGCGCUUGAGAGAACUCGGGAGAAGGAACUCGGCAAAUUGGUACCGUAACUUCGGGAAAAGGUACGCCCCGGUAGCUUGACCACUUUACUGUGGAAGGGCGAAAGGGUUGCAAUAAACUGGUGGCUGCGACUGUUUAAUAAAAACACAGCACUCUGCAAACACGAAAGUGGACGUAUAGGGUGUGACGCCUGCCCGGUGCUGGAAGAUUAAAUGAUGGGGUGCAAGCUCUUGAUUGAAGUCCCAGUAAACGGCGGCCGUAACUAUAACGGUCCUAAGGUAGCGAAAUUCCUUGUCGGGUAAGUUCCGACCUGCACGAAUGGCGUAACGAUGGCCACACUGUCUCCUCCCGAGACUCAGCGAAGUUGAAAUGUUUGUGAUGAUGCAAUCUACCCGCGGCUAGACGGAAAGACCCCAUGAACCUUUACUGUAGCUUUGCAUUGGACUUUGAACCAAUCUGUGUAGGAUAGGUGGGAGGCUUUGAAGCGGGGACGCCAGUUCUCGUGGAGCCAUCCUUGAAAUACCACCCUGGUUUGUUUGAGGUUCUAACCUUGGUCCGUUAUCCGGAUCGGGGACAGUGCAUGGUAGGCAGUUUGACUGGGGCGGUCUCCUCCUAAAGUGUAACGGAGGAGUUCGAAGGUACGCUAGGUACGGUCGGACAUCGUGCUAAUAGUGCAAUGGCAUAAGCGUGCUUAACUGCGAGACCGACAAGUCGAGCAGGUACGAAAGUAGGACAUAGUGAUCCGGUGGUUCUGUAUGGAAGGGCCAUCGCUCAACGGAUAAAAGGUACUCUGGGGAUAACAGGCUGAUUCCUCCCAAGAGUUCAUAUCGACGGGGGAGUUUGGCACCUCGAUGUCGGCUCAUCACAUCCUGGGGCUGUAGCCGGUCCCAAGGGUAUGGCUGUUCGCCAUUUAAAGUGGUACGUGAGCUGGGUUUAAAACGUCGUGAGACAGUUUGGUCCCU
This 2577-nucleotide ribosomal RNA is filed under the name freshwater metagenome. Its description in RNAcentral is "bacterial LSU rRNA". It matches the Rfam family "Bacterial large subunit ribosomal RNA", at positions 14 to 2639 of the family's 2925-position model. The record is from RNAcentral.